Molecule: ribosomal RNA, 253 nt
Filed under: uncultured bacterium
Lineage: Bacteria
Description: partial 16S ribosomal RNA
Rfam family: Bacterial small subunit ribosomal RNA
Source: RNAcentral
GACGGGGGAUGCAAGCGUUAUCCGGAAUCACUGUGCGUAAAGCGUCUGUAGGUGGUGAUGCAAGUCACUGGUGCAAAACUCUGGCUCAACCGGAGGAAAGCCAGUGAAACUGCAUGACUAUAGUGUGGGAGAGGUAGAAGGAAUUCCCUGAGUAGCGGUGAAAUGCGUAGAUACAGGGAAGAACACCGGAGGCGAAAGCGUUCUACUGGGACACAACUGUCACUGAGAGGCGAAAGCUAGGGGAGCGAAUGGG